GACGAACGCUGGCGGCGUGCUUAACACAUGCAAGUCGAACGGAAAGGCCCUGCUUUUGUGGGGUGCUCGAGUGGCGAACGGGUGAGUAACACGUGAGUAACCUGCCCUUGACUUUGGGAUAACUUCAGGAAACUGGGGCUAAUACCGGAUAGGAGCUCCUGCUGCAUGGUGGGGGUUGGAAAGUUUCGGCGGUUGGGGAUGGACUCGCGGCUUAUCAGCUUGUUGGUGGGGUAGUGGCUUACCAAGGAUUUGACGGGUAGCCGGCCUGGCAGGGUGACCGGCCACAUUGGGACUGAGAAAGGGCCCAGACGCCUACGGGAGGCAGGAGUGGGAGACAUAGCGCAAAGGGCGGAGGCCGGAUGGAGGAUCGCCGCGUGCGAGAAGACGGCCUUCGGGUUGUAAACCGCUUUCGACUGUGACGAAGCGUGAGUGACGGUAAUGGGUAGAGAAGCACCGGCUAACUACGU
RNAcentral lists this ribosomal RNA (467 nucleotides) under uncultured bacterium. RNAcentral describes it as "partial 16S ribosomal RNA". It matches the Rfam family "Bacterial small subunit ribosomal RNA", at positions 28 to 506 of the family's 1533-position model. The record is from RNAcentral.